CCUACGGGACGCACCAGUGGGGAAUAUUGGACAAUGGGCGAAAGCCUGAUCCAGCAAUGCCGCGUGUAUGAAGAAGGCCUUCGGGUUGUAAAGUACUUUCAGUCGGGAGGAAGGUGGUGAGCUUAAUACGCUCAUCAAUUGACGUUACCGACAGAAGAAGCACCGGCUAACUCCGUGCCAGCAGCCGCGGUAAUACGGAGGGUGCAAGCGUUAAUCGGAAUUACUGGGCGUAAAGCGCACGCAGGCGGUUGAUUGAGUCAGAUGUGAAAUCCCCGGGCUUAACCCGGGAAUUGCAUCUGAUACUGGUCAGCUAGAGUCUUGUAGAGGGGGGUAGAAUUCCAUGUGUAGCGGUGAAAUGCGUAGAGAUGUGGAGGAAUACCGGUGGCGAAGGCGGCCCCCUGGACAAAGACUGACGCUCAGGUGCGAAAGCGUGGGGAGCAAACAGGAUUAGAUACCCCAGUAGUC
Molecule: ribosomal RNA, 465 nt
Filed under: uncultured bacterium
Lineage: Bacteria
Description: bacterial SSU rRNA
Rfam family: Bacterial small subunit ribosomal RNA
Source: RNAcentral